UUGAAAAUCUGAGAGAACAACUGCCUCUGUUUAUCUACAGAACAGGUACAGCACAGCCAGUGGCAGUGCAAACUUCCUCAGCAGACCACCCUGCCAAAGUGCCACAAUGACCUGGAGGAAUCACCCUAGAGCUGAGAGGUGAGUUUGAUUUCCACAGACCAUUCAAUCUUUGGACUCC
Molecule: small RNA, 178 nt
Filed under: Chrysemys picta bellii (western painted turtle)
Lineage: Eukaryota; Metazoa; Chordata; Testudines; Emydidae
Description: TUC338 (ENSCPBG00000015453.1)
Source: RNAcentral